This 253-nucleotide ribosomal RNA is filed under the name uncultured bacterium. RNAcentral's name for it is "partial 16S ribosomal RNA". It matches the Rfam family "Bacterial small subunit ribosomal RNA", at positions 524 to 776 of the family's 1533-position model. The record is from RNAcentral.
UACGUAGGCAGCAAGCGUUGUUCGGAAUUACUGGGCGUAAAGGGCGCGCAGGCGGCUCAGACAGUCAGAUGUGAAAACCCCGGGCUUAACCUGGGAACUGCAUUUGAUACUACUGAGCUUGAGUACGAGAGAGGUGAGUGGAAUUCCCAGUGUAGAGGUGAAAUUCGUAGAUAUUGGGAAGAACACCGGUGGCGAAGGCGGCUCACUGGCUCGUAACUGACGCUCAUGCACGACAGCGUGGGGAUCAAACAGG